Molecule: ribosomal RNA, 428 nt
Filed under: uncultured bacterium
Lineage: Bacteria
Description: bacterial SSU rRNA
Rfam family: Bacterial small subunit ribosomal RNA
Source: RNAcentral
UGGGGAAUUUUGGACAAUGGGCGCAAGCCUGAUCCAGCCAUGCCGCGUGAGUGAAGAAGGCCUUCGGGUUGUAAAGCUCUUUCGUGCGGGAAGAAACAGCAAAAGCUAAUAUCUUUUGCGAAUGACGGUACCGCAAGAAGAAGCACCGGCCAACUACGUGCCAGCAGCCGCGGUAAUACGUAGGGUGCAAGCGUUAAUCGGAAUUACUGGGCGUAAAGCGUGCGCAGGCGGUUGUCCAAGUCAGGUGUGAAAGCCCCGGGCUUAACCUGGGAAUUGCGCUUGAAACUGGAUGGCUAGAGUGUGGCAGAGGGGGGUGGAAUUCCACGUGUAGCAGUGAAAUGCGUAGAGAUGUGGAGGAACACCGAUGGCGAAGGCAGCCCCCUGGGCUAACACUGACGCUCAGGCACGAAAGCGUGGGGAGCAAACAG